UAAAUUGUAGUUGGGUUUGUAGAUAAUAUUAGAAAUUUACUUAUGAGUUGUUGGUUAGUUCAUUGGAAUUCAGAAUGCAUAGAAAAUCAACAACAAAGAAUACUAAGAAAGCAACAAAAGGAGCCUUAUCUAGUAGAGGAAGGGCUAGGAGAAAUUACAAUGAGAAUCUCUUUAAUUCCCAUGAUUAUGAAAUAUGGUUUAAUGAACAUCAAUCCCACAAAUUUGCAAUGGAGAAAAUAAUUAACCCUAGAAUAGAAGAUAUGCUUGAUAUAAGUAGGGGCUUUAAAGCACUAGGAUAAAGUAAUUUGCUAAAUAUGGGUAAUACAUUACUAUCCCCAACUAGUUAAGGAAUUCUAUGUCAAUAUUGAUAGGAAAGAAGCUAAGCUAGCGAGAAAAAUUAUAUCUUGCUUAAUACGAAUCGACAUAGCAAUAACUAAUGAGAUAUUAAUGGGAUUACUACAUGUACCUAAUGAUGGACCAAGGUUUCAAAAGUCACAACAUGUAGUGGUAGGAGAUAGGAGUUGGAAGUUUAAAGAAGCUAAAGUCAAAUUUUAUUUGACUAAUAUUGGAAUAAAUGAGAGGCCUAGGGUGGUAGCUAAGGGAAUGAAUGUGCGAGAGAGAAUAAUAGUAUUUAUGCUAAGUUUCAAUGUGAUGCCUUGAUCUAGUGGAUUAAAUGAAGUACGCACCUUUGAGGCGUAUGUUUUGGUCAAUAUGCUUAAUGGACUUAGAGAUAUUAAGGGUAUUCCGGUUGCCAAAUUAAUUCUUGAACAAAUUAUGAAUGUGGUGUUAACAAAAAGGAAGGCAAAGAAUCUUCUCUUUCUAAUUUUGUUAAGCAAGAUAUUUGAGGAGUAAUUAAUCGCAACGAUGAAUGAAGAGGUUAUUUUCACAUCAAGUAGAGAUGAGAUUGUAGUGAGAAAUUUGAUAUAGAUGGGUUUGCAAAUGGUAGGAGGAGUAUGGAAAAAUCUGAUUAGGCAAUCAUUACAACCAAGUGAAGUAGUAGAUUUUAGGGGUAGUGGAGCUAUUGAUAAAGUCUUAAGGGAUGAGAUGGAAGCAGAGAUGGAGCCACCGACUGGCAAAGUUAAUGAAGAAAGGACCUUGAUGUUGUACGAGGAGCGAAAUCAUCCUAAUCCGUUUGAAAGAGAGGAUGGAAUUCGAGUAUCCAUAUAAGCGCCCGGAAAGAUGAAGGAGGAAUUCAAUUGUGCGAAGGAUACUCUCCAUUUGCCAAGAUAUUUGAGAUGAUGUAAGGAGUCAAUGAGCUAGACUUGAUAUGAUUGAGCGAGAGCUAGAGCAUCUUCGAGCUAAAAGAAAUGCCAAUCCACCACAACCCUAAUGAGGGA
Molecule: long non-coding RNA, 1337 nt
Filed under: Ricinus communis (castor bean)
Lineage: Eukaryota; Viridiplantae; Streptophyta; Magnoliopsida; Malpighiales; Euphorbiaceae
Description: long non-coding RNA (RCOM_LNC001819)
Source: RNAcentral